RNAcentral lists this ribosomal RNA (420 nucleotides) under uncultured eukaryote. RNAcentral's name for it is "SSU rRNA". It matches the Rfam family "Eukaryotic small subunit ribosomal RNA", at positions 592 to 1018 of the family's 1831-position model. The record is from RNAcentral.
CAAUAGCGUAUAUUAAAGUUGUUGCAGUUAGAACGCUCGUAGUCGGAUUUCGGGGCGGGUCGACCGGUCUGCCGAUGGGUACGCACUGGCCGACGCGUCCUUCCUUCCGGAGACCGUCUCACUCUUAACUGAGCGGAGGCGGGAGACGGAACGUUUACUUUGAAAAAUCAGAGUGUUUCUAGCAGGCAGCUCGCUCUUGCAUAGGUUAGCAUUGGAUAAUUUAAUAGGACUCUGGUGCUAUUUUGUUGGUUUCGAACACCGGAGUAAUGAUUAAAAGGGGCAGUCAGGGGCACUCGUAUUCCGUCGAGAGAGGUGAAAUUCUCAGACCAAUGGAAGACGAACCACUGCGAAAGCAUUUGCCAGGGAUGUUUUCACUGAUCAAGAACGAAAGUUAGGGGAUCGAAGACGAUCAGAUACCGU